GUAUUAAAGGCUUUUUUGACCAAUAAAGGUCUCAAACAUACAUUCUGAUGACAUGUGUGUGUGAUGGAAAAAUAACAUAGACGCAGACUAUCAAAACAUCUGGGCCUACAAUAAGUUCACAGGUGAGUUUGAAAAGGCGGAGUGCACAUUUGCCCCCUGAGGGACCAGCAACAUCCUAAGGAUUUCGAUAAUGAUCCUUCCGCAGGUUCACCUACGGAAA
This 220-nucleotide unclassified non-coding RNA is filed under the name uncultured fungus. Its description in RNAcentral is "sequence contains ITS1". The record is from RNAcentral. Lineage: Eukaryota; Fungi.